RNAcentral lists this unclassified non-coding RNA (246 nucleotides) under Hevea brasiliensis (rubber tree). Lineage: Eukaryota; Viridiplantae; Streptophyta; Magnoliopsida; Malpighiales; Euphorbiaceae. The record is from RNAcentral.
UUCAUCCCUAUGCUUCUUAAGCUGUGCUUUGGCCUCUAGCAAUCCCUUGCCCACCUCUUCAUCGUCUGGUGCUUCUUUAUGCAAGAUCUCGUAGUCUUGUAUUGAAGCUUCCCAUUUUUCCAACUUGGCGUAGCAAUCUGCUCUCCUUAGUCUAGCCUUGGAGUAAUUAGGACGCAUAUUGAGUGCACCAUUACAGUCCUCCACAGCUUUUUCAUACUGGCCAAGCUUAGACCGACAGGCGGCUCG